This 336-nucleotide long non-coding RNA is filed under the name Fukomys damarensis (Damara mole-rat). RNAcentral describes it as "lncRNA (ENSFDAG00000023297.1)". Lineage: Eukaryota; Metazoa; Chordata; Mammalia; Rodentia; Bathyergidae. The record is from RNAcentral.
UGUUGUAGCUUUUUAUUUAAAGAGAUUAAAAUUAUUAUUUUUUCUUUUAACACAGGGUUUUGCUGAGUUGCUAAAGUAACCAGACUGGGCUAAAAUUUACAGUUCUCCUGCCUCAGCCUCCUGGACUGCUUGCAUUAAGGCACGUGACACCAUUCUCAGCUUUGUUGGCACUGAUUUCCAAGAGGACAUUCAGUAUUGGAUAUGGGUGGACACCAUCAGGAACUAUAAAAAUGUCAAGGGAACAAUGUUCAAAGCUGUGAGCACGGAACGAAAGGAAAGCGUUGGAAUGGGUUCAAAUGUACAGAUAAGUGAAAGUUUUCUUAGUUUUGUAGUAUA